GACGAACGCUGGCGGCGUGCUUAACACAUGCAAGUCGAACGGAUAGGCCCUGCUUUUGUUGUGUGCUCGAUUUGCGAACGUGUGAUUAACACGUGUGUAACCUGCCCUUGACUUUGUUAUAACUUCAGGUAACUGGGGCUAAUACCGUAUAGGUGCUCCUGCUUCAUUGUUGGUGUUGUACAUUUUCGGCGGUUGGGGAUGGACUCGCGGCUUAUCAGCUUGUUGUUGGGGUAGUGGCUUACCAAGGCUUUGACGGGUAGCCGGCAUGAGAGGGUGAACGGCCAAAAUGGGACUGAGAUACGGCACAGAAUGCUACGGGAGGCAGAAGUGGGGAAUAAUGCAAAAUGGGAGGAAGCAUGAUGCAGAAAGGAGGCGAGCGGGAUGAAGGACUUCGGGUUGUAAACAGAUUUAGAAUGUGACGAAGAGUGAGUGACGGUAAGGGGUAAAGAAGCACCGGCUAACUACGUG
RNAcentral lists this ribosomal RNA (468 nucleotides) under uncultured bacterium. RNAcentral's name for it is "partial 16S ribosomal RNA". It matches the Rfam family "Bacterial small subunit ribosomal RNA", at positions 28 to 507 of the family's 1533-position model. The record is from RNAcentral.